RNAcentral lists this non-coding RNA (29 nucleotides) under Rattus norvegicus (Norway rat). The record is from RNAcentral. Lineage: Eukaryota; Metazoa; Chordata; Mammalia; Rodentia; Muridae.
UGGCUGAAAACUGCAACUGAAUGGUGACU